UCCCCGUGUUGCCUGAGCUUGAUGACC
RNAcentral lists this non-coding RNA (27 nucleotides) under Homo sapiens (human). The record is from RNAcentral. Lineage: Eukaryota; Metazoa; Chordata; Mammalia; Primates; Hominidae.